This is a long non-coding RNA of Hippocampus comes (tiger tail seahorse), 1085 nucleotides long. RefSeq lists it as uncharacterized. NCBI's taxonomy places the organism in Eukaryota, Metazoa, Chordata, Actinopteri, Syngnathiformes, Syngnathidae. The record is from RefSeq and is a predicted model, not a curated record. The transcript is spliced from 3 exons.
GCCGUUAUUAUUAUUCAACUUGAUGAUGGACUAUGUUGCAUAAGUCUCCAUUAUAGAUUGGGCGAAACCGCCACUGGAUACCCGCCAAGAGAGCAAUAGAAAUAAAACUGGAGAUGAGGUGAUAUCGGUGAGUCAUUUUUAUUCCGGGGAGGUGGGUUGGUGGGGGACUUACUCCGAAAGUAUUGCGACCCACUUCUUAAGCCGUUACAUAAUCAGCGAGGAGUCGGACUGCAUCCGAACGAUAAACAGUGGUAGCUGUAGCAUGAGCGAGUGAAUGGAGUAGGAGGUCCGGUCGGUGCGCAAGCUAUCUUUAGAUUGGCGGGUUAACCUCAUGCAGACCUUGCCUGGAGCCAAAAUGAGAAAGAGAAGCGGAGAGAUUACAUGGCUCACAUGCUGGAGCAACACAGUGCAAAUCCCUCCUUCCAGUAUGUUGUUUUCACCAAGCAGCCUGUCAGAAACAAUUACGUUGGUCUCAAGGAGUUCUGUCACGAGAGAUUCGAACUGAAAGUGACUGGCAACGGAGGCGAAACGGUCGCAACCCCUCCACCCCUCCCCAGCGCCUCGGCUCGAGCGCUACCUUGAUGGUGACUGCCUGUAAUUUGAAACAUCACACAGGAACGCGUAGAAUGAAGUGUCCUAAAAACAUGACGCGCUUUGAUCACAGGCACCCAAAAUGCCCCGGUGAAACUGACAACGGUUUGAGAUGGAAUUGGCCUCCCAAGGACAUACACCGCGAGCGUUUUCUGAUCAACACGUCGGCGGGCUUUGGCUGGAUGACGCUGCCGGCGGGGUUAGCCUCGUUUUCCUUUCCUUGAUCGGAUUCCCAACGCGUCGUCGGGAAGGUGAAGAUCACUAAACAAGUCUAGUUUAUUGAUGUGUUCUAGUACUACCUGGCGACAACCAUGACUUUGAAUAAUAUAUCGCCCUAUAUAGCAAGUGAUUGAUCUUGACUUGAUGUGCUGUGAGGCGGCUAACAAACUCCCCCCCCCCCCACACGCACAUCCACACAAACCUCUAAUUAAAUAAUACCGUAACUUGUUGCUAGGCAGGAUUCCAGGUCAAACUGUGCUUAAGUACAAAUGUAC